Long non-coding RNA from Onychostoma macrolepis, 220 nucleotides. RefSeq lists it as uncharacterized. The transcript has 3 exons. NCBI's taxonomy places the organism in Eukaryota, Metazoa, Chordata, Actinopteri, Cypriniformes, Cyprinidae. The record is from RefSeq and is a predicted model, not a curated record.
CAUGAUGAUGACGUAAUUUCCUCUCACCCAACGGCUGCUGCUGACCGCCACAAUGAUGCCGGGGAAGAAAUGAUCGGAAAUAAAACAGCCAUUCCAGACUGUGUAUUUAAAAAUGAACUCGGAGUUCUGCUCGUGCUCAUCAUUCGAACCAUAACGGUCAUCUACCACUGUUCGCUGAGGAAAAGGGAUAUGCAUUUCAACAGAGCCACAUCACCGAAUG